AGACAGAUGAUCUGGCUGUGACAUCUGUCACCCCAUUAAUCUCCAGGAUUGACUCGGUUAAUCUGGCUGGCUAGUCCUCCUUCUCUCUCAUCACUCUCUAUGCACCUUUCCCGAAGCUUCAUGCUCUGUGGAAAAGGUCAGCCUUCUCUGAUACAAGGACUGUCCUGAUCUUCGAUCAAGGCUGUGCUCCUUUGCUAGAACUUCCAAACAAGAUCAGUCAACAAGCACUGAGGUUAUUAUUAUUGUUAUGAAUAUUAAUAGUAUCAUUUUAAAUAU
Unclassified non-coding RNA from Notechis scutatus (mainland tiger snake), 276 nucleotides. Its record names the gene 7SK. It matches the Rfam family "7SK RNA". Rfam says of the family: 7SK was discovered as an abundant small nuclear RNA in the mid-70s but a possible function has only recently been suggested. Two independent studies have found that 7SK RNA binds the CDK9/cyclin T complex (known as elongation factor P-TEFb). P-TEFb activates transcription by phosphorylating the C-terminal domain of RNA polymerase II. The record is from Ensembl. NCBI's taxonomy places the organism in Eukaryota, Metazoa, Chordata, Lepidosauria, Squamata, Elapidae.